Molecule: unclassified non-coding RNA, 607 nt
Filed under: Hevea brasiliensis (rubber tree)
Lineage: Eukaryota; Viridiplantae; Streptophyta; Magnoliopsida; Malpighiales; Euphorbiaceae
Source: RNAcentral
CUCUGAGCAACAGUUCAGAUCUUUUUCAUUAUCAUGUAUGUGAGGAAGACAUUGAUGGAUUUGAGCCCAGUCACCAGCAAAGAAACGUAGUUCCACGCCAGAAUCAGAAUUUUUCUCAUCCGAUGCAGUGCAAGGAAAUUCUUUUGAAAGAUUGACAUCCACAUUGGGAAUGGUGAGAGAUCGCAGAACUUCUGCAUUGAAAUCCUGAAAAUGUACGACAGCUGCACCCUCUAGGCAUGCAAAGAUCCCUGGAAGUCCAUGACCACAUCCAAGCUCUAAAACUUGCUUUCCAGCAAAUGAUAAAUGCCCAUUUUGAACCUCUGAGCGGAGAGCUUUAACAAGGUCCAAUGAACCUUCCCAAAGCUUCAGUCCCCCUUCAUAGACACCAGGUACUAAAUCAGAAUUAGGCAACCCAAAAACCUCUUUGGUACUUAGCCGUCCCUUGAGCAAAGUAAGACCAUCCAAGUUUACGGGCUCCACAGAGCAUUUCAAAGUGGAUGAAACCUGAGAAGAAAGUACUUCGACAGAAGGAGGCGGAGGAGGGAGAGAAGCCUCAGAAGGAGAAUCGAAAAACCCUAUACCUCCCGACGUCGAAAAUAAUUUGAAC